GGCUCUCCAGCCUCUGGCACAAUCUCGGCAUCCUUCGAAUCCUCCACCACUGAGAAAGCAGCCUCCACAGCAUUGGCCUCCUCAUCAACAGCGGAGACCUCUUCGACCAGAGCCUCCUCAACCAUCGGGGUCUCCUCCGCUACAGGUGCGGGGGCAGCCUCCUCCUCAACCUCGGCACUCUCGAGCACUGCCUCCGGCUCACCCACAACUUCUGGUACCGCCUCAUCGCUCGCAAUCGGCAGCUCCACUUCGCGCGACUCCACUUCAGGAGCCGCUUCCUCAGUCACGCUUGCAUCGGGUGCCUCCGGUGCAGCAACCUCUGCCACUGGAGCCUCUGGCGCAACCUCGGCAUCCUUUGCCUCCUCCACCACUGGAGCAGCAGCCUCCUCACCAUUGGCCUCCUCAUCAACAGCGGGGACCUCUUCGACCAGAGCCUCCUCACCCUUCGGGGUAUCCUCCGCUACAGGUGCGGGGGCAGCCUCCUGCUCAACCUCGGCACUCUCGAACACUGCCUCCGACUCACCCACAACUUCUGGUACCGCCUCAUCGCUCGCAAUCGGCAGCUCCACUUCGCGCGACUCCACCUCAGGAGCCGCCUCCAAAGUCACGCUUGCAUUCGAUGCCUCCAGUGCAGAAACCUCCACCAUUGGGGCCUCUGGCUCUGCAGCCUCUGGCACAAUCUCGGCAUCCUUCGAAUCCUCCACCACUGAGAAAGCAGCCUCCACAGCAUUGGCCUCCUCAUCAACAGCGGGGACCUCUUCGACCAGAGCCUCCUCAACCUUCGGGGUCUCCUCCGCUACAGGUGCGGGGGCAGCCUCCUGCUCAACCUCGGCACUCUCGAGCACUGCCUCCGGCUCACCCACAACUUCUGGUACCGCCUCAUCGCUCACAAUCGGCAGCUCCACUUCGGGCGACUCCACUUCAGGAGUCGCUUCCUCAGUCACGCUUGCAUCGGGUGCCUCCGGUGCAGCAACCUCUGCCACUGCAGCCUCUGGCACAAUCUCGGCAUCCUUCGAAUGCUCCACCACUGAGGCAGCAGACUCCACAGCAUUGGCCUCAACAUCAACAGCUGGGACUUCUUCGAGAAGAGCCUCCUUAACCUUCGGGGACUCCUCCGCUACAG
RNAcentral lists this long non-coding RNA (1123 nucleotides) under Physcomitrium patens. RNAcentral describes it as "long non-coding RNA (PPAT_LNC012179)". Lineage: Eukaryota; Viridiplantae; Streptophyta; Bryopsida; Funariales; Funariaceae. The record is from RNAcentral.